This is an RNA transcript of Malania oleifera, 2294 nucleotides long. RefSeq lists it as uncharacterized. The record is from RefSeq and is a predicted model, not a curated record. The transcript has 19 exons. Lineage: Eukaryota; Viridiplantae; Streptophyta; Magnoliopsida; Santalales; Ximeniaceae.
CCCAUCCUCUGCCCUCUCUCUCUCUCUCGAAGCCCCGUAACCCAGAGAUAGAACCAAACUAACUAUCAUCGAAGGUUCCUUUUCUUCGAUUUCCGUCGACGAAGCCGACGAUGACAGCAGAUACUCUUCCGUACCCCAACGGAGUCAUCUUCAACGGGGAUCUGAACCCUAACCCUACCGCCGGGAAAAAAUCGCGGGAGAGCGAACGGCGUCGUCGAAGGCGGAAGCAGAAGAAGAACCAGAAGGCCUCGCAGGCGGCGGAAGCCGCUUCCUCCGCCGCCGAUGACAGCGGGGACGAGGAAAACACCGCCGCUGCCGCCAAGGAGGGCGCUGAUCCGCAGCAGGUGGUAGAACAAGUUGAAAUCGAAUAUGUUCCUGAGAAAGCAGAUCUAGAAGGUGCUUUGGCCGUGGAAUUUAGUAAGGUUCUGGAGAAAUUCAGUUCCCUUGAAACUAUUGGCUCUGAGGAGAUUGAUAAAAAAGGUGAGACUGAUGCAAAUGCAGCAUCCAAUAAAAAGACCGAUUCGGAUUCAGAUGAGGAAGAACAAGACAUCCAAACUAAAGAGAGAAGCGUCUCAAAUAAGAAGAAAAAGCUCCAACGACGGAUGAAGAUUGCUGAACUCAAACAGAUUUGCGCUAGACCUGAUGUAGUUGAGGUCUGGGAUGCAACUGCGGCAGACCCUAAGUUAUUGGUUUUUUUGAAAUCAUAUCGGAACACUGUCCCUGUGCCAAGGCAUUGGUGCCAGAAAAGGAAGUUUUUGCAGGGAAAGCGUGGUAUUGAAAAACAGCCAUUUCAGCUUCCUGAUUUCAUUGCUGCUACAGGAAUUGAGAAAAUUAGACAGGCUUACAUUGAAAAGGAGGACAGUAAAAAGUUGAAGCAGAAGCAACGUGAGCGCAUGCAGCCUAAGAUGGGAAAAAUGGACAUAGAUUAUCAGGUUCUCCAUGAUGCAUUCUUCAAAUACCAAACAAAGCCAAAAUUGACAACUCAUGGUGAUUUGUAUCAUGAAGGGAAAGAGUUUGAGGUAAAGCUGAGGGAGAUGAAGCCAGGAAUGCUAUCUCAGGAGCUAAAGGAAGCUCUUGGUAUGCCAGAGGGUGCGCCUCCCCCAUGGCUUAUUAAUAUGCAGAGAUAUGGCCCUCCACCGUCAUAUCCACAUCUGAAAAUUCCUGGGCUGAAUGCUCCCAUUCCACCUGGGGCUAGCUUUGGUUAUCAUCCUGGUGGCUGGGGCAAACCCCCUGUUGAUGAAUAUGGGCGCCCUUUGUAUGGAGAUGUUUUUGGUCUUCAACAACAAGACCAGCCCAACUAUGAGGAAGAGCCAGUUGAUAAGACUAAACAUUGGGGUGAUCUAGAGGAAGAAGAGGAGGAAGAAGAGGAAGAAGAGGAGGAAGAGAUUGAGGAAGAGGAAUUAGAGGCUGGUAUUCAAUCUGUGGAUAGCCUUUCAAGUACUCCAACUGGUGUGGAGACCCCUGAUGUUAUUGACCUUCGUAAGCAACAGAGAAAGGAGCCUGAGAAACCUCUUUACCAAGUACUUGAAGAAAAAGAAGAAACAAUUGCUCCGGGGGCAUUAUUUGGAACAAACCGCACCUAUGUGGUCAGCAGUGGCACCCAAGACAAGACAGCAGCCAAGCGGGUUGAUUUGCUUAAAGGUCAGAAAUCAGAUAAAGUGGAUGUCACACUGCAACCAGAAGAACUGGAAGUUCUGGACAAUGUUUUGGCAGCCAAGUAUGAGGAAGCAAGGGAGGAGGAGAAGAUGCGGAGCCAGAGGGAAGAUUUCAGUGACAUGGUUGCAGAGAAUGAGAAGAAGAGGAAGCGCAAGAUGCAGGAAAAGGAGGGGAAAUCAAAGAAGAGGGAUUUCAAAUUUUAAGGCGUGGUUUUUGGAAGCCGCCCGCCUUUCUUGUAGAUCUGAGGAAAUUCUCACCAACUUGUGCUGCAAAUGUAGUUAUAGUGGUAGUUUUCUGAACUGUACCACCCAACCAAACCUCUGUGCUGUAUGAUCUCUCUAAGUAGUUUCUUAAGAUCUCUCUAAAUAGCCGUUUCUUAAGACUCUUAUUUCAUUCAGUGGAUUACACAGUUUCGACAAGGGAGAGAGGCCUUUGUACUUCUGUUGUGUUAAUGGUCUUUUCUCAGGUUUUGGGCUUACAGAUUACAAUCACGAAGAAAAGUAUGUAACAGCUCAGAGGGGGACUAAGAGUCACUCUUGUAGAAAGUAGUGCACAAAAUAUAAGAGCAGCAUUAUAUUUUUUUCUCGUUAUAUUGACAGCAGGAUUUAUCUGAUAAGCUUUGAGUUUCUCGCGGUUUA